AUUGAACGCUGGCGGCAUGCUUUACACAUGCAAGUCGAACGGCAGCGCGGGCUUCGGCCUGGCGGCGAGUGGCGAACGGGUGAGUAAUACAUCGGAACGUGCCCAGUAGUGGGGGAUAGCUCGGCGAAAGCCGGAUUAAUACCGCAUACGACCUGAGGGUGAAAUCGGGGGAUCUUCGGACCUCGCGCUAUUGGAGCGGCCGAUGGCAGAUUAGCUAGUUGGUGGGGUAAAGGCCUACCAAGGCGACGAUCUGUAGCUGGUCUGAGAGGACGACCAGCCACACUGGGACUGAGACACGGCCCAGACUCCUACGGGAGGCAGCAGUGGGGAAUUUUGGACAAUGGGCGAAAGCCUGAUCCAGCAAUGCCGCGUGUGUGAUGAAGGCCUUCGGGUUGUAAAGCACUUUUGGCGGGAACGAAAAGGACUGUGCCAAUACCACGGUUCGAUGACGGUACCCGCAGAAUAAGCACCGGCUAACUACGUG
Molecule: ribosomal RNA, 484 nt
Filed under: uncultured bacterium
Lineage: Bacteria
Description: partial 16S ribosomal RNA
Rfam family: Bacterial small subunit ribosomal RNA
Source: RNAcentral